Molecule: ribosomal RNA, 319 nt
Filed under: uncultured Pseudomonadota bacterium
Lineage: Bacteria; Pseudomonadati; Pseudomonadota
Description: bacterial SSU rRNA
Rfam family: Bacterial small subunit ribosomal RNA
Source: RNAcentral
AUUGAACGCUGGCGGUAUGCUUAACACAUGCAAGUCGAACGGUAGCAGCUCUUCGGAGGCUGACGAGUGGCGGACGGGUGAGUAACGCGUAGGAAUCUGCCUGUUAGUGGGGGACAACUUAGGGAAACUUAAGCUAAUACCGCAUACGCCCUACGGGGGAAAGGAGGGGAUCUUCGGACCUUUCGCUAACAGAUGAGCCUGCGUAGGAUUAGCUAGUUGGUAGGGUAAAGGCCUACCAAGGCGACGAUCCUUAGCUGUUCUGAGAGGAAGAUCAGCCACACUGGGACUGAGACACGGCCCAGACUCCUACGGGAGGCAG